This is a long non-coding RNA of Plodia interpunctella (Indianmeal moth), 382 nucleotides long. RefSeq lists it as uncharacterized. The record is from RefSeq and is a predicted model, not a curated record. The transcript is spliced from 2 exons. Lineage: Eukaryota; Metazoa; Arthropoda; Insecta; Lepidoptera; Pyralidae.
CUAAUCUCAGACUGUGUCCGGGGCAUACCUGCUGAGGAGACCACCGUGACAGGAUCUUUAGUAGAAUGCGGUAUAAAAGCGGUUGCCAGUUUGGUUAAAUGUCUGAUUACCGGAAAAGAAUCCUCGUGGCUUUCAAACGGUUUUAAUGCUCCUGAAACUUCCGACAGAGAUAUUGCUGGUAAAAUCGGCGAAUGCUUUAAAGAUGCUGCAUCGACAUUCUUGUCCUGUGUGAUGACUGGAUACUCUGAAGAUGGCAUAGCUGAUAAAAAGAUUGUGGCUUAGACUGCACGAACAUACGUCAACAGUAUAUGACAUCAUAUAUUACGAGGCAAAUAGAAGUGUUAACUGCUGUAUUUUUUAUCAAUAAAGAGUAUCUAUUAUU